Molecule: ribosomal RNA, 1016 nt
Filed under: Staphylococcus aureus
Lineage: Bacteria; Bacillati; Bacillota; Bacilli; Caryophanales; Staphylococcaceae
Description: bacterial SSU rRNA
Rfam family: Bacterial small subunit ribosomal RNA
Source: RNAcentral
UUUAUGGAGAGUUUGAUCCUGGCUCAGGAUGAACGCUGGCGGCGUGCCUAAUACAUGCAAGUCGAGCGAACGGACGAGAAGCUUGCUUCUCUGAUGUUAGCGGCGGACGGGUGAGUAACACGUGGAUAACCUACCUAUAAGACUGGGAUAACUUCGGGAAACCGGAGCUAAUACCGGAUAAUAUUUUGAACCGCAUGGUUCAAAAGUGAAAGACGGUCUUGCUGUCACUUAUAGAUGGAUCCGCGCUGCAUUAGCUAGUUGGUAAGGUAACGGCUUACCAAGGCAACGAUGCAUAGCCGACCUGAGAGGGUGAUCGGCCACACUGGAACUGAGACACGGUCCAGACUCCUACGGGAGGCAGCAGUAGGGAAUCUUCCGCAAUGGGCGAAAGCCUGACGGAGCAACGCCGCGUGAGUGAUGAAGGUCUUCGGAUCGUAAAACUCUGUUAUUAGGGAAGAACAUAUGUGUAAGUAACUGUGCACAUCUUGACGGUACCUAAUCAGAAAGCCACGGCUAACUACGUGCCAGCAGCCGCGGUAAUACGUAGGUGGCAAGCGUUAUCCGGAAUUAUUGGGCGUAAAGCGCGCGUAGGCGGUUUUUUAAGUCUGAUGUGAAAGCCCACGGCUCAACCGUGGAGGGUCAUUGGAAACUGGAAAACUUGAGUGCAGAAGAGGAAAGUGGAAUUCCAUGUGUAGCGGUGAAAUGCGCAGAGAUAUGGAGGAACACCAGUGGCGAAGGCGACUUUCUGGUCUGUAACUGACGCUGAUGUGCGAAAGCGUGGGGAUCAAACAGGAUUAGAUACCCUGGUAGUCCACGCCGUAAACGAUGAGUGCUAAGUGUUAGGGGGUUUCCGCCCCUUAGUGCUGCAGCUAACGCAUUAAGCACUCCGCCUGGGGAGUACGACCGCAAGGUUGAAACUCAAAGGAAUUGACGGGGACCCGCACAAGCGGUGGAGCAUGUGGUUUAAUUCGAAGCAACGCGAAGAACCUUACCAAAUCUUGACAUCCUUUGACAAC